This 615-nucleotide ribosomal RNA is filed under the name Pomacentrus coelestis (neon damselfish). RNAcentral describes it as "partial small subunit ribosomal RNA". Lineage: Eukaryota; Metazoa; Chordata; Actinopteri; Pomacentridae. The record is from RNAcentral.
UAAACUCGUGCCAGCCACCGCGGUUAUACGAGAGGCUCAAGUUGACAGACAACGGCGUAAAGAGUGGUUAGGGAAAAUUCUAAAGACUAAAGCCGAACGUCCUCAGAGCUGUUUAACGCUUCCGAGUUAAGAAGAUCUUUAACGAAAGUAGCUUUACUAAACCUGACCCCACGAAAGCUGUGAAACAAACUGGGAUUAGAUACCCCACUAUGCUCAGCCCUAAAAUUCGAUAGGUCACUACGCCCCCUAUCCGCCCGGGUACUACGAGCAUCAGCUUGAAACCCAAAGGACUUGGCGGUGCUUCACAUCCGUCUAGAGGAGCCUGUCCUGUAACCGAUAACCCCCGUUAAACCUCACCCUCCCUUGUUAAUCCCGCCUAUAUACCGCCGUCGUCAGCCUACCCUGUGAAGGACUAGUAGUGAGYAAGAUUGGUAAAACCCAAAACGUCAGGUCGAGGUGUAGUAAAUGAGAGGGGAAGAGAUGGGCUACAUUUCCUGCAUCAGGAAAUACGAACAAUGAACUGAAAUAAGCAUUAGAAGGUGGAUUUAGCAGUAAGCAGAUAAACAGAGUGUUCUGCUGAAGUUAAUGGCAAUAAAGCACGUACAUAUCGCCCGU